Pelobates cultripes (western spadefoot toad) is the source of this 222-nucleotide non-coding RNA. Lineage: Eukaryota; Metazoa; Chordata; Amphibia; Anura; Pelobatidae. The record is from the annotation of a GenBank genome assembly.
CUGUAGAUGGCCACGAGCCUCCUCUAAUACCAAAUAAUGAGGUCCUACAGCUUCUUACAGGAGCUAACGAAGGAGAACAGCAGCCUGCACAAGCUAAUGAACCUCCCCAGCCAAUUCCACAGGUAUCUCAGAGAGAUGAUAAGCAAGAGCAAUGCUGUAUAUGCAUGAGUGGUUAUAACCCUGAGGAGGACAUCAUGCAGCUGCAAUGUAACCACAUAUUCC